Molecule: ribosomal RNA, 2904 nt
Filed under: Escherichia coli
Lineage: Bacteria; Pseudomonadati; Pseudomonadota; Gammaproteobacteria; Enterobacterales; Enterobacteriaceae
Description: 23S ribosomal RNA
Rfam family: Bacterial large subunit ribosomal RNA
Source: RNAcentral
UUAAGCGACUAAGCGUACACGGUGGAUGCCCUGGCAGUCAGAGGCGAUGAAGGACGUGCUAAUCUGCGAUAAGCGUCGGUAAGGUGAUAUGAACCGUUAUAACCGGCGAUUUCCGAAUGGGGAAACCCAGUGUGAUUCGUCACACUAUCAUUAACUGAAUCCAUAGGUUAAUGAGGCGAACCGGGGGAACUGAAACAUCUAAGUACCCCGAGGAAAAGAAAUCAACCGAGAUUCCCCCAGUAGCGGCGAGCGAACGGGGAGCAGCCCAGAGCCUGAAUCAGUGUGUGUGUUAGUGGAAGCGUCUGGAAAGGCGCGCGAUACAGGGUGACAGCCCCGUACACAAAAAUGCACAUGCUGUGAGCUCGAUGAGUAGGGCGGGACACGUGGUAUCCUGUCUGAAUAUGGGGGGACCAUCCUCCAAGGCUAAAUACUCCUGACUGACCGAUAGUGAACCAGUACCGUGAGGGAAAGGCGAAAAGAACCCCGGCGAGGGGAGUGAAAAAGAACCUGAAACCGUGUACGUACAAGCAGUGGGAGCACAGAGCAAUCUGUGUGACUGCGUACCUUUUGUAUAAUGGGUCAGCGACUUAUAUUCUGUAGCAAGGUUAACCGAAUAGGGGAGCCGAAGGGAAACCGAGUCUUAACUGGGCGUUAAGUUGCAGGGUAUAGACCCGAAACCCGGUGAUCUAGCCAUGGGCAGGUUGAAGGUUGGGUAACACUAACUGGAGGACCGAACCGACUAAUGUUGAAAAAUUAGCGGAUGACUUGUGGCUGGGGGUGAAAGGCCAAUCAAACCGGGAGAUAGCUGGUUCUCCCCGAAAGCUAUUUAGGUAGCGCCUCGUGAAUUCAUCUCCGGGGGUAGAGCACUGUUUCGGCAAGGGGGUCAUCCCGACUUACCAACCCGAUGCAAACUGCGAAUACCGGAGAAUGUUAUCACGGGAGACACACGGCGGGUGCUAACGUCCGUCGUGAAGAGGGAAACAACCCAGACCGCCAGCUAAGGUCCCAAAGUCAUGGUUAAGUGGGAAACGAUGUGGGAAGGCCCAGACAGCCAGGAUGUUGGCUUAGAAGCAGCCAUCAUUUAAAGAAAGCGUAAUAGCUCACUGGUCGAGUCGGCCUGCGCGGAAGAUGUAACGGGGCUAAACCAUGCACCGAAGCUGCGGCAGCGACGCUGAUGCGUUGUUGGGUAGGGGAGCGUUCUGUAAGCCUGUGAAGGUGUGCUGUGAGGCAUGCUGGAGGUAUCAGAAGUGCGAAUGCUGACAUAAGUAACGAUAAAGCGGGUGAAAAGCCCGCUCGCCGGAAGACCAAGGGUUCCUGUCCAACGUUAAUCGGGGCAGGGUGAGUCGACCCCUAAGGCGAGGCCGAAAGGCGUAGUCGAUGGGAAACAGGUUAAUAUUCCUGUACUUGGUGUUACUGCGAAGGGGGGACGGAGAAGGCUAUGUUGGCCGGGCGACGGUUGUCCCGGUUUAAGCGUGUAGGCUGGUUUUCCAGGCAAAUCCGGAAAAUCAAGGCUGAGGCGUGAUGACGAGGCACUACGGUGCUGAAGCAACAAAUGCCCUGCUUCCAGGAAAAGCCUCUAAGCAUCAGGUAACAUCAAAUCGUACCCCAAACCGACACAGGUGGUCAGGUAGAGAAUACCAAGGCGCUUGAGAGAACUCGGGUGAAGGAACUAGGCAAAAUGGUGCCGUAACUUCGGGAGAAGGCACGCUGAUAUGUAGGUGAAGUCCCUCGCGGAUGGAGCUGAAAUCAGUCGAAGAUACCAGCUGGCUGCAACUGUUUAUUAAAAACACAGCACUGUGCAAACACGAAAGUGGACGUAUACGGUGUGACGCCUGCCCGGUGCCGGAAGGUUAAUUGAUGGGGUUAGCGCAAGCGAAGCUCUUGAUCGAAGCCCCGGUAAACGGCGGCCGUAACUAUAACGGUCCUAAGGUAGCGAAAUUCCUUGUCGGGUAAGUUCCGACCUGCACGAAUGGCGUAAUGAUGGCCAGGCUGUCUCCACCCGAGACUCAGUGAAAUUGAACUCGCUGUGAAGAUGCAGUGUACCCGCGGCAAGACGGAAAGACCCCGUGAACCUUUACUAUAGCUUGACACUGAACAUUGAGCCUUGAUGUGUAGGAUAGGUGGGAGGCUUUGAAGUGUGGACGCCAGUCUGCAUGGAGCCGACCUUGAAAUACCACCCUUUAAUGUUUGAUGUUCUAACGUUGACCCGUAAUCCGGGUUGCGGACAGUGUCUGGUGGGUAGUUUGACUGGGGCGGUCUCCUCCUAAAGAGUAACGGAGGAGCACGAAGGUUGGCUAAUCCUGGUCGGACAUCAGGAGGUUAGUGCAAUGGCAUAAGCCAGCUUGACUGCGAGCGUGACGGCGCGAGCAGGUGCGAAAGCAGGUCAUAGUGAUCCGGUGGUUCUGAAUGGAAGGGCCAUCGCUCAACGGAUAAAAGGUACUCCGGGGAUAACAGGCUGAUACCGCCCAAGAGUUCAUAUCGACGGCGGUGUUUGGCACCUCGAUGUCGGCUCAUCACAUCCUGGGGCUGAAGUAGGUCCCAAGGGUAUGGCUGUUCGCCAUUUAAAGUGGUACGCGAGCUGGGUUUAGAACGUCGUGAGACAGUUCGGUCCCUAUCUGCCGUGGGCGCUGGAGAACUGAGGGGGGCUGCUCCUAGUACGAGAGGACCGGAGUGGACGCAUCACUGGUGUUCGGGUUGUCAUGCCAAUGGCACUGCCCGGUAGCUAAAUGCGGAAGAGAUAAGUGCUGAAAGCAUCUAAGCACGAAACUUGCCCCGAGAUGAGUUCUCCCUGACUCCUUGAGAGUCCUGAAGGAACGUUGAAGACGACGACGUUGAUAGGCCGGGUGUGUAAGCGCAGCGAUGCGUUGAGCUAACCGGUACUAAUGAACCGUGAGGCUUAACCUU